ACCCGCUGAACUUAAGCAUAUCAAUAAGCGGAGGAAAAGAAACCAACAGGGAUUGUCUUAGUAACGGCGAGUGAAGCGACAAAAGCUCAAAUUUGAAAUCUGGCACCUUCGGUGUCCGAGUUGUAAUUUGAAGAAAGUAACUUUGGAGUUGGCUCUUGUCUAUGUUCCUUGGAACAGGACGUCACAGAGGGUGAGAAUCCCGUGCGAUGAGAUGUCCAACUCUAUGUAAAGUGCUUUCGAAGAGUCGAGUUGUUUGGGAAUGCAGCUCUAAGUGGGUGGUAAAUUCCAUCUAAAGCUAAAUAUUGGCGAGAGACCGAUAGCGAACAAGUACAGUGAUGGAAAGAUGAAAAGAACUUUGAAAAGAGAGUGAAAAAGUACGUGAAAUUGUUGAAAGGGAAGGGUUUGAGAUCAGACUUGGUAUUUUGUAUGUCUUGCUUUCGGGUGGGGCCUCUGCAGUUUACUGGGCCAGCAUCGGUUUGGACGGUAGGAUAAUGACAUUGGAAUGUGGCACUACUUCGGUGGUGUGUUAUAGACUUUGUUGAUACUGCCUGUCUAGACCGAGGACUGCGUCUUUGACUAGGAUGCUGGCAUAAUGAUCCUAAACCGCCCGUCUUGAAAC
This 619-nucleotide ribosomal RNA is filed under the name Scheffersomyces shehatae. RNAcentral describes it as "eukaryotic LSU rRNA". It matches the Rfam family "Eukaryotic large subunit ribosomal RNA", at positions 23 to 660 of the family's 3401-position model. The record is from RNAcentral. Lineage: Eukaryota; Fungi; Ascomycota; Pichiomycetes; Serinales; Debaryomycetaceae.